Molecule: long non-coding RNA, 1419 nt
Organism: Drosophila yakuba
Lineage: Eukaryota; Metazoa; Arthropoda; Insecta; Diptera; Drosophilidae
Exons: 5
Source: RefSeq, a predicted model, not a curated record
CGAAGAUCUCCCAUCUCCAGCAAUAACAACAAUAACAAAACGCAACAACAAAAAGCAGCGACGCGACGUUGACCGCGGACAAAUCGUAUCGUUAAGCGAUAACAAGCCACCGCAAUAACAAAUUCCAAAAGCAAAAGCGUAACAUAUUGGCAGGCUGCAACGGGACUAAUCGCGGCUAUAGGCGCUGGUUAACUAACCAAGUAACAACUCCGGUAGUCCGGCAAUCGGUGGUGUCCCCGCGAGCGGCUGUGAAUCCAAUCGGAGAUUGGCAAUUGUGUGACUUCUAUUAAUAAAGCAACAAAUCAAACAGCAGCAUCCUCCUGUGUGGAGUCAUGUGUUCCACUGCACACAAAAACAAGUCAAGGAAAGCCAUGUAAAUGAAUAUUAAUAGCCCGUCAUCAAGGGGAGGUCAUUGGCUAUUUCUUUCGCUCGUCCGCUCCCCCAGUUUCGCCUAUAACUGCACUUGCUCUGUCUGCAAAAUAACGGGACUCAACAACAAAUGGCAUUUGCAGAUGGCUGCCGCCGCAUCGUCUAAUUGGAAUUUGUGCAAAGAAGAAGCGUAAAGAAACAAAGAAAUCUGCAAAUAAUUGCUAAUUAGUUGCAUUUCUGCCAUUGUUCGAAGGUUUCGCUUGCGAAUUUUUAAUGUAAUUAACGCGCCAGCUGUUUUUUUUCGAGUGUGUUCAGUGUGUGUGUAGCCCGAGCCUUCGAUCUAUUUUGUUUUUGUUUUUUUGGUGUCCAGAAACAACAAAAAAUCUAAGGUGCAAGUGCGUACAAAUAGAGUAGUACACGCGAAAACAACGGAUUUGAAACCACGGAUAUACAGUUAAAUACAUCUAAAAGGAAGGGCCAAUCUAGGAGAAGAACCGUUUGAUUUCGGCUGCCUCCGCGCCCCCACCUCUGCCUCUCUCUUCAGCACUUCUUCAUUUUCUACAUUCGCCGCGGGAAGCAGGGUGGUACACAUAUAUAUGCUCCAACUGAAGGAAAACCAGACACGCUGGCGAAUAUGGAUGUGAAUAUGAGUGCUCUUCUUGGUGAUUAGAUGAAACGGAAUAGAAAAUCGGAAGGAAUGUAGCCACCAAUUUGCUAUAAAGUGAAGUCGAAUUAAAACUCACAGGACAGGAUGGCAUCCUACACCCCGGCAAUGAAGGUUGUGCCAAAGUCCGAGCCAAACAAAUCCAGUAAGAGGACGAAGCCGGACGAACUUGGUGGCAAAAAUAUGAUGCGAGCCCAUUCUAAGACGAGAAUAAAAUUCUUUAUAAAUGUUAAAAUGGUCCCACUGAUAUACAAAUUCCCAGCAUUAUUUAUGUAUAUAAGAAAAGUACUGUAAAAAAAUCUGUACUAGCUGUAUAAGUUUUAAAGAAAUAAAAAUAAAGUUCACCAUACUUUCGGGCAGAAAACGAUAAGCGCUUUCACAUUCUA